GAUGAACGCUAGCGGGAGGCCUAACACAUGCAAGCCGAGCGGUAUUGUUUCUUCGGAAAUGAGAGAGCGGCGUACGGGUGCGUAACACGUGUGCAACCUGCCUUUAUCUGGGGGAUAGCCUUUCGAAAGGAAGAUUAAUACUCCAUAAUAUAUUGAACGGCAUCGUUUAAGAUUGAAAGCUCCGGCGGAUAGAGAUGGGCACGCGCAAGAUUAGCUAGUUGGUGAGGUAACGGCUCACCAAGGCGAUGAUCUAUAGGGGGCCUGAGCGGGUGAUCCCCCACACUGGUACUGCGACACGGACCAGACUCCUACGGGAGGCAGCAGUGAGGAAUAUUGGUCAAUGGGUGCAAGCCUGAACCAGCCAUCCCGCGUGAAGGACGACUGCCCUAUGGGUUGUAAACUUCUUUUGUAUAGGGAUAAACCUACCCUCGAGAGGGUAGCUGAAGGUACUAUACGAAUAAGCACCGGCUAACUCCGUG
This 479-nucleotide ribosomal RNA is filed under the name uncultured bacterium. RNAcentral's name for it is "partial 16S ribosomal RNA". It matches the Rfam family "Bacterial small subunit ribosomal RNA", at positions 28 to 507 of the family's 1533-position model. The record is from RNAcentral.